This 514-nucleotide long non-coding RNA is filed under the name Homo sapiens (human). RNAcentral's name for it is "HSALNT0113375". Lineage: Eukaryota; Metazoa; Chordata; Mammalia; Primates; Hominidae. The record is from RNAcentral.
CUGUGGUUUCACUGCUGUUCAAGGGCUCUGUUUUGACUGCAAGAAGAGACACUACGUAGAAGAAUAAGUACAGAAAAUAAGCUGCAUUCAUACUAAGUGAGCAUCAACAAGCACCUCUUGAUCUCUAGGACAGCAAACCAAAAUCAUUACAUGCAAUAAAAUGGAAGCAAAAUCCUUUUAUAGAAGACAAGCACCGUAUUUCUCAACCAAAUGCAAGCUUACACACCAAAUGUUUUGAUUUCAAAAGAAACAAUAUUUUAAUGUCCUAGGUUGAAGAGUUUUGUGGGAUUAUUAUUCUGUAUCUUCAAAGUAAGUGAGGGAGAAGAAAUGGAAACUCUUAAAAAAGAACUAAAUAAAAUUUCUAGAAUGAAAAUAACAAUAUAUUACAUAAGUAUUAUUUGAGUGGACUUAACAGCAUAUUGGACAUUGCAAAAGAAAGGACCAGGAUAUCUGAAGCUGGGCCAAUGCAAAUUAUCCAAACUGAAGCACAGAGGAAAAAAGUGGGAGUGGAAAC